This 253-nucleotide ribosomal RNA is filed under the name uncultured bacterium. RNAcentral's name for it is "partial 16S ribosomal RNA". It matches the Rfam family "Bacterial small subunit ribosomal RNA", at positions 524 to 776 of the family's 1533-position model. The record is from RNAcentral.
GACAGAGGGUGCAAACGUUGUUCGGAAUUACUGGGCGUAAAGCGCGUGUAGGCGGCCCUGCAAGUCGGGUGUGAAAUCCCACGGCUCAACCGUGGAAGUGCACUCGAAACUGCAGGGCUAGAGUCCUGGAGAGGAAGGUGGAAUGCUUGGUGUAGAGGUGAAAUUCGUAGAUAUCAAGCGGAACACCGGUGGCGAAGGCGGCUCACUGGCCCGGUACUGACGCUGAGGUGCGAAAGCGUGGGGAGCAAACAGG